Molecule: long non-coding RNA, 7578 nt
Filed under: Olea europaea (common olive)
Lineage: Eukaryota; Viridiplantae; Streptophyta; Magnoliopsida; Lamiales; Oleaceae
Description: long non-coding RNA (OEUR_LNC007660)
Source: RNAcentral
UAUUUUUAAACAAAUUUCAUAAGUUCCACAACUUUUAUCAACUUUCCAACUUUCAUUUACUCUUCUUUUAUUAGGAGUGCAAAAAUGUGUUAAAAAAUAAGCACACCAUAAAUUCAAGCUGUAAAGAGCUUAUAUAUCCACACGUGUCUACGAGUACAAGGAAAAAGGUAGCUUAGAGACGAAGUGGCACCGAUUAAAACUAUGUCCAUUACUUUGCACACGAGAUAAUCUAUAGCAACAUCAUCAUCAUCAAGGUAGUGCAAUGCAAACAUAUUCGUCUACGUGCACACAAUACAUAUCUACAUAGUAAAAGCUCCAUUCCGCGGCUGCUCUUCAUUCAGAUUUUCUCGAUUCAGGGUGGCUUGAAACAUGUCUAGCAGAAUUGUAAGAUGAAAUUGCUGAUCUCGUAGUAUGAAGCGAAUGCUUGGCUAAACUUAAGCUUUUCUUCGUCACCAGCCACACAGUGCAGAAGAAUCCAAUCCAACCUGAUUCCCACAAGUUUGUUAUGAUUGCAUGAUAUAUAAAAUAACAAGGUAGAAUCUACGUUUUCUCACAAUCACAGACAUUGGCUUAUACGUAAUAAUAGCAGAACAGAGAGUCGACAUCUAACAUAAAAACAAAAGAGAUAACAUACUUCAUACUUCCAUUCUGAGUCUAUCUUUUUACUUUGUUCAUAGACACUAUCUUAAGACAUAUUCAAGAGGAGUUCGUUGAUAAAUAGGCUUAGUUCAUAGACUAAAAGAGAGAGAACUUGCAUAUUAGAAGUUUGGAAGGGCCUUUUGGAAUCUGUAGAUUUUCAGUGUGCAAAAGAACUCAGAAAAUAUACAAAAUUCAUUUUUAGCCAUACUCGAAAUAAGAACGAUAGUGGAAACAACGCAUAGGAUCAUAAUGAUCAAAAGAAUUCAGGUUCAUAUAAAAAUAAGUUAAUAGGACUUGAAAAGAACAUAAUAUAGGAUAACAUAAGUUUAGACAAAACUCAGAGGUGCUGUAAGGUUUCUAUGUGAUUGGACGAUACCUACCGAAUUGGAAAGAAAGUUACCACAUACCAUUUGACUAUUUGUCCUUUUUGGAACUAAUUGUCUAGCUUGUGAAAGACAAAAUGUCUACUAAAUUGAGCGUUGAGCCGUUUAACAAAANUUUUUGAACAACGUUAGCGAGGAACGGACUUUUGUUUUUCCAUUUUGAACUAUUAGACAACAAUCUUUUUUAUUAUGUCUUUUCAAUGUGAAAGUAGAAAUAUGGAGAAUACUAGCAUCUAAGUUCAAUUUAAUUCUAACUUCAAAUUUAAGUUUCAAUACCCAUAAACAAUUGAACUUAAAUUUUGCUGAAUGUUGGCUAAGUUUCAAAAAGAAGAAGAUGUAUUUGGGCAACUUUAUUCUAAUUUCAGAUUGCAUUACUCAAUACGACUCGUAUGGAGUUACUUUUAAUAGAUCCUAAAAUUAUACAUGAGCAGUGGUGGAUCUAGAAAAAAAUUCAACAUGGACUAAUACGUAUAAAAUAUAUGGGCAUUUGGGCUGAAGGGACAGAUUGUAACAUGGCGCAGCCCGUUUCUGGAUCCGCUCAUGUACAUGAGCUUGCAAUGGAUGAUUGCCAUGUAUCACGCUAUCAUCAAGGCUGAGUGUGAUAUGAGUUCACGAUAUUCCCAAGCACAAUAUGUGAAAUUAAUCGGGGACUUUGCCAUAAUACUAUUCACAGCAAUCUAAUAAUAUAGAGAUAAGUCAAACCUUUCAGCUUUGUGACAAAUAUGGCUAUUCAAAAAUGAGAAUGUCUUCAAAAAAAGUGACUAAAUGCGCUAUCAAAACGAGUCACGCAGGCUAUAAUUCGUUAUAUUCUUACCAUAUAGUGAAUUUAGUGAGUGGAUGUUUGUUAUAAGAAAUAAUUAAAAUUUUCAUUUAUGCAUUUUGAUUAAAAAACGAUAUAUUGUUAUACAGUUCAAGAAUUACUCAAUUUCAUAUUUCUUCACUUUGUUCUUUGCAACACAUAUCCUAUCACUUAUUCAAAUCUUGAAUCACUAUGGUUGGGUUUGCCCAAAUUAGUAGAAUUAAGAGUAGGAGUCAAAGUAGUAAUUUAAUUAACAUUUGUGCUACAUAUAUAUAAUGAUUUACAUACACAUGAUGUAGAUAGAUAUGAAUAGGUCGAAAUUUCUUUAAUCAAAUAAAAAAAAUCCUUAAUUACCUUCUUUUUGAUACCUCAUCUGUACGUAAAUCAUUAUCUACAAGUAGCAUUUUUCUUUAAUUAAAAUCCUAACAUAACCGUGAGUUUUAAUUGGAAAAAAAAAUUUUCUCCUUAUUGAUAAAAACUAAAAUCCAGAUCUUAGUCUUAAGUUAAAGUCAACAACUAAUUAUAAUUACACAAUUUAUGAGAUCCACAAUUUUUCAACCACGUAGCUCAUUAACUUUUAUUAAAAUUUAUUAAAAAUGUGAUUUAAUUCCCACUGAACAGGAAUUUAGUAUGCAACACUAUAUGAAUCCUAAUGCAAUUGAGAAAACGACUUUGAGUACAAUUUUCACGUUGUAAUUAGUCAACUUAAACUGUGUAUAUAUUGUCAAUGUGAUUUUCCUAAAGAUUUUAAUAAAAGUCGAUAAAUUUUAUGAUUAAAAAAUUGAGAAAAUGUCAACGAUAAACAAAGAGAAGUGAUUAAACAGAUGAUUUCACCUCAGAGACAAGGAGAGGUUGACCCUAUUCUAUUAGGUAAGAAGAUUUUAAGCUUCAAUGUGUCAAGUUUAUUGAAAUGAAUUCCAACUCUGUGAGUUGUUGUCCUCUUUUUGGGGAAAGCAGUGACGGUGGUGCCGGUCCUUACCCAACCACUUCACCCACUUCAAUGCUCGAAUACUUUCUCGUACCUUUUUCUGAACAAAUCAAAGAACCUAAUAGUCGAUCGUGUCGAAAUUGAUUUCCAACUUCCAGCUAAAUGAGGUAGGUCCCAUGCAGGGGCAGAGAAACAAAGUAAUUCCGUUUAAUUGAUUCAUCUAAAAAAAAAAUUCCACAAAAAUUUUUUACCUACGAAAGUAAGGUUGGACAAAAUUCUCGAAUCGAAUUGAAUCAAACAAAUCUUCUUAAGUUAAAUACCCAAAUGGGCAUCUAAAUCAAGAACCGAUGGAUUUGGUUCAGUUUUCGGUUCUAGAUCAAAAAUCGAAUAUCUCUAAUUUUUUUAAUUAAUUUAUUUUAAAUAAACCAAAUUAUUUUAUUUUUUUCUAAAUAAAUUUGCUGACUAAUUAAUCUAACUCAAACCCAAAAAUAUGACUUUCUUAUUUCUAAUUUUCAGUUCAAAGCUAACUUAAUCAAAUUGAUCUAAGUUUUAUUAAAAUUUAUUACUCUAACGUAGUACCGUUUCUACCGUUUUAGAGAAUCAAAUUGAAACUUGACACAACACCUUUCUUAAUUAUUGUAAGCUCGCUAUCUUCAUCUUUCUAUGAUUUUAACAAUCAAAUCUAUGAAGAACUUAGCAAAGAGAAACACAAAAGAUACAUAAGAUUGAACUACGUUAUUUUGUAAGAGCUAAGAUUGAAUAUAUCACUAGUUGAAUUAAUAUAACUUUGUAAAUAUUAAAAUAAUUAAUUAUAAUACGGAAUUUGAGAAUCGAAUCGAACCGAACUGAAUCGAAUGGAAUCGAACCCGAAUGUUCGAUAAUUAAAUUUGAACCCAACUAUUUCACUUACUAAAUACUCGAAAAUUUCAAGGUCCGAUUCGGUUCUUGUUAGAAUUUAACCGAACCGGAUCAUGUCCAACCCUAUACUAAAGUUCAAAUGGGCUACUACCUUUCCCAUCGUCGGUUUAAAAAAUAUGGAUAAAAUUAAUUAGCUCCCCUUUGUUUUCCAUUAUUUGCCCAUUAAAAUGAAAAAUAUGACCGUUAUCCAUCAUAUCAAACCACCAUAUUUGAUUUUCUAUCUCUUGUUUGAGACUCGUAACGACUAUAUUUUUCAUUUUCAUUUUUAUAUUAAUGUGUACCGAACGAGUCCUUCGUAGUUUUGAUUUGGGUUUUUAUUAGAUUUUUUAGUUAAACACGCCAUGCCUGUGGACACAAUAAUCGAGAUGCGUAUUUUCUUUUCACACAUCAGAGGUGUUUGUACAAGAGAGGAAAGUGGGAAAAAAAAAUUAGAAAAAGGUCUUUUCGUUGUUCAUGAUACAUAUAAGACGUUCUAGUUUUGGGUAAGAAAAAGUCGUGGGAGUGAGAAAAAUAUUGUAUUGUGAGAUUUUUUUCAAGUAAUAAAUUCUUCUCCAGUGAUCUUUAAAGGUUUGUUGAACCACGUUAAAAUUGCAUUUUCUCUUUUCAUCUCAAUUUUUGGAUUUAUUUUAUUAUUAUUAUUUUUUAAUAGCUGCAUUUGGUGGGAUUUUUCCCUAAGUGGCAUCAAAGGUAAAGAUUCAAACUCUGGGGCAUAGCUGUGAAGAUUAUGGCAAGUUCAAAGUUUGAGGUGAAGCGUCUUGAUAGAAAAAACAAUUUUAAUAUUUGGUAAAACGUUGUGCAAGAUAUUCUCAUAGAACAUGGACUUUGCAAAGCCUAGAUGGUAAGAGGUAAUAAGGGACAAGAGAUUAGGGGCUGUUCUCUUUGUAUUUCAAUUUUGUGUUUUGAUUUUUGAGUUUCAUUUUGAAUUUUGUGUUUUGAGUGUUGUUAUUGAAAUUGUUGAAAGCAUGUUCUUUUUGUCAUUUUGAAAAAAUGUUUUCCAAAACAUAAAACUCGAAAACUUGUUCACUAUCUUGCCAAAGCCCAAGCCUGUUUCAAUUCCCAUCUCCACCACCAAAUCCACUCUUCACCCGUCACCAUCAUGUAUCAAAUUUUCGACGAUGUUGGCCACCAAGACUACCAGAUAUUGGUACCCUCAGAAAGCCUUUAACCUCUUCUUCAAUUAUCAACCAACAUCUUCCCAUAACUCCAUUGAAUUUUCCCGGAAUCCAUCCACAAAGUAGCCUACCUAAAAAUCUGAAAAUUGCCGGAAACUCCACCACCGACCCCAAAUUGAUCGGAGCCCACCACCGAUCGAUUGCCCACCACAAACUGACCCCAACCAUGGCCCCAAUUGACCACAAACAACAAUCCAACAAUCGAAUUAAACCCAGACAUAUUGGUCGUCGCGAAGCCUGAUUUGCAGAAUUCAAAUUUUGUAGAUUUUGGCGCCAUCCGGUGGACCUAUGGUCGCAGACCACGUGCGUUGAACUCCUCUUCACCUGGCGCACCUUGUCCAGCCAUGGGUCAACCCUAAUUUUGCCCAAAACUUGAUGAAUUUAUGGGCGCACCUUGAUGAAUUUAUGCCCAAAAUCGUGACUGGUAAUGACGAUGUGAGGGGGUUCGAUUGUUGAGGAAGAAGCAACGGUGGUGGUCGAUUGUUAAGGAAGAAGAGGUGACGGUGGUCGAUUGUUGAGGAAGAAUUGGUGGAGAAAUGGCUAUUCUUUCAUGGUUCUCUCACGCACAGUGGAGAAGAAAUGGAAAAGGUUGUUUUCUACGUUUUUCAUUUUUUAAGUGUUUUGUACAGAAAACACCCAAAACGACAUUUUGGUCGUUUUGUGUUUUCUUCACAAAAAAAAAUUUUUGUUUUCGAAAAUGCAUUUUCAAAAAUGGGAAAGAGAACGUGUUUUCACCGUUUUGGAAAACCAAAAACGAAAAACGGCUCGAAAAUGUCAAAGAGAACAGCCCCUUAGUGUUUUGAAUGAGAAAAUCUCCAUGGAAGUUAUGGAAAAUUUUAGAAGAGGUACAUAUGUUUAAGUCCCAAACAAAUAGACUAUAGCUCAAGAACUCUACUACACUUACAGGGGUCUGUUUUACAAAUCCAUGCCAAAUCCCUCACAGUUGCCAGCCUUGGCGUUUUUUUUUUUCAUGUGGGACUGACCCCUACAGUGAGGGGUCGGUAAGACCCCUAUAGGAAAUUGCUUUGUACAUUCCAUAGCUGAAUAAGCAAUUAUAUGAAUUAAGGAUGUUUGACCAUACUAAUGUUAGGGAUCACUUGAAUAAGUUUAACAAGUGUUUAACAUAGUUGUUAAAUGUUGAUGUUAAGAUUGAGGAUGAAGAUAAGGUGACAAUUUUGAUGUACUCUUCGCAAAGUCAUAUGAAACAUUUGUGACCACUUCGCUUGUUGAAAAUUUUAUUUUAACCAUGAGCAAGAUUUCAAUUGCCUUAUCAGAGACUCGGCAUUUAAAAUUUUGAAUUGUGAUCAAUUUCUUUGUGAAGUCUGAGGUGAACCGCGAGAAAGUAAUUAUGAUCAAGGGCAUAAUCAUUCUCAAUCUUGUACUAGAUGAGACGAGUGUUGCUACUAUCACAAGAAGGAUCACAUGUCGGGAGUGAAGAGACUUCUUGAAGCGAAAAAGGACUAAGAGGCUUCAGAUUCGACAAACGUGUUUGAUGAUGACCGUGUCUUGAAGGUGAUUUUUUGUUUGUUGCUGAUUGUGGAAGCCUAAUGAGUUCUUGAAUUUUAGUUAUGAGAUGUCCAUACUGUAUUUGCUUGUAAAAGGAGUUGUAUGAAGAUUUUAAGUCAUGAGAUUCGCAUAAGAAAGUUGAAAUUAAGGAUACGAGUACUAUGAAGGUGAAGAUAUUUGACGGAGUGGUGAUAAUAUGGAAAAGGGUUAUGCACAUUACAAGAUUUGGAGCUCUAUACAUACUGGGUUUGAAUAUUCUGCGCAAGCUGGUUUGAUGAAUGUGAAGAAAUAUUCGCUUACAAUAGUUAAAGGUAAAAAGAAUGGUAAUUUAUACAAGCUUGUAGAAAAAACAUUUGAGGUGGAGCUGUGGUGAUGGAGCUCUGGUGUUGGAGUCACACCAAGGUGGAGUUGUAACGAUCAAGUUAAACAAACAAGAGUCUUCCAGUAUUGUCAAUAAUUGUGAAAUGACAAAGAUGAGUUAUUUCGCUAAUUAUCAAAGAGAGAUACUUUCAAUAAUGAUGAAAUAUAAAAACUUAUUAAAAAUAAUUGCAUUGUAAUCAGCAAAACUCUUAAGUCCAUCAAUACAACGAAAUUGGAACUUAGAUUAGAGAAAAAUAAAAAUAAUAAAAUAAAUAAAUAAAUUCAAACUUGGAUUCAAUCGUAUAUUCUAUUUCAAAUUUAAAACCCCAGUUCUGGUAUAGGACUUGAAAAGAAUUCAGUUGUUGCCUCCCAUUGUAUUUUUAUUUAUUUAUUUUAUUUAACCAAGUUGUCAAAUUUUUAUUUCCGGUACCAUUUCACCGUGUUUGGCCCCGUUUCUAAGACCUCAAACUUAUUUUUAAACAAAUUUCAUAAGUUCCACAACUUUUAUCAACUUUCCAACUUUCAUUUACUCUUCUUUUAUUAGGAGUGCAAAAAUGUGUUAAAAAAUAAGCACACCAUAAAUUCAAGCUGUAAAGAGCUUAUAUAUCCACACGUGUCUACGAGUACAAGGAAAAAGGUAGCUUAGAGACGAAGUGGCACCGAUUAAAACUAUGUCCAUUACUUUGCACACGAGAUAAUCUAUAGCAACAUCAUCAUCAUCAAGGUAGUGCAAUGCAAACAUAUUCGUCUACGUGCACACAAUACAUAUCUACAUAGUAAAAGCUCCAUUCCGCGGCUGCUCUUCAUUCAGAUUUUCUCGAUUCAGGGUGGCUUGAAACAUGUCUAGCAGAAUUGUAAGAUGAAAUUGCUGAU